This 511-nucleotide ribosomal RNA is filed under the name Dacus telfaireae. RNAcentral describes it as "partial 16S ribosomal RNA". It matches the Rfam family "Bacterial large subunit ribosomal RNA", at positions 1819 to 2597 of the family's 2925-position model. Lineage: Eukaryota; Metazoa; Arthropoda; Insecta; Diptera; Tephritidae. The record is from RNAcentral.
GUCUUUUUGAGUUAUUUUUAAAGUCUGACCUGCCCACUGAUUUUUUAAAUGGCCGCAGUAUUCUAACUGUGCAAAGGUAGCAUAAUCAUUAGUCUUUUAAUUGAAGGCUGGUAUGAACGGUUGGACGAGGUAUAAGCUGUUUCAUAUAAAUUUAUAGUAGAAUUUUAUAUUUUAGUCAAAAAGCUAAAAUAUAAUUAAAAGACGAGAAGACCCUAUAAAUCUUUAUAUUUUAUAUAAUUUAAAUUUUUUAGAUUUAUUUUAUUUUUAUUAUAUUGAAUAUUUUGUUGGGGUGAUAUUAAAAUUUAAUGAACUUUUAAUUGUAUUUAAGUCAUUAAUUUAUGAAUUAUUGAUCCAUUAAUAGUGAUUAUAAGAUUAAGUUACUUUAGGGAUAACAGCGUAAUUUUUUUGGAGAGUUCUAUCGAUAAAAAAGUUUGCGACCUCGAUGUUGGAUUAAGAUAUAAUUUUAGGUGUAGCCGCUUAAAUGUUAAGUCUGUUCGACUUUUAAAUUCUU